UACGGAGGGUGCAAGCGUUGUCCGGAUUUAUUGGGUUUAAAGGGUGCGUAGGCGGGCUAUUAAGUCAGUGGUGAAAGUCUUCAGCUCAACUGAAGAAGUGCCAUUGAUACUGGUAGUCUUGAGUACAGUAGAGGUAGGCGGAAUUUAUGGUGUAGCGGUGAAAUGCAUAGAUACCAUAAAGAACACCGAUAGCGUAGGCAGCUUACUAUACUGUAACUGACGCUGAGGCACGAAAGCGUGGGGAGCGAACAGG
This 253-nucleotide ribosomal RNA is filed under the name uncultured bacterium. RNAcentral describes it as "partial 16S ribosomal RNA". It matches the Rfam family "Bacterial small subunit ribosomal RNA", at positions 524 to 776 of the family's 1533-position model. The record is from RNAcentral.